Molecule: ribosomal RNA, 891 nt
Filed under: uncultured bacterium
Lineage: Bacteria
Description: bacterial SSU rRNA
Rfam family: Bacterial small subunit ribosomal RNA
Source: RNAcentral
ACAAACGCUGGCGGCGUGCCUAACACAUGCAAGUCGAACGUGAAAGUUGGCUUCGGCCGAUGAGUAAAGUGGCGCACGGGUGAGUAACGCGUGGAUAAUCUGCCCUUCAGUUGGGAAUAACUCAUCGAAAGGUGAGCUAAUACCGAAUAAUACUGCUUGACCAUGGUCAGGUAGUCAAAGAUAGCCUCUGCUUGCAAGCUUUCGCUGAAAGAUGAGUCCGCGUACCAUUAGCUAGUUGGUGGGGUAAUGGCCUACCAAGGCGACGAUGGUUAGCUGGUCUGAGAGGAUGAUCAGCCACACUGGAACUGAGACACGGUCCAGACUCCUACGGGAGGCAGCAGUGAGGAAUCUUGCGCAAUGGGGGAAACCCUGACGCAGCAACGCCGCGUGAGUGGGGAAGGUCUUCGGAUCGUAAAGCUCUGUCGGGUGGAAAGAAAUGUAUGGGGUUAAUAGCCUUCAUACUUGACGGUACCACCAAAGGAAGCACCGGCUAACUCCGUGCCAGCAGCCGCGGUAAUACGGGGGGUGCAAGCGUUGUUCGGAAUUAUUGGGCGUAAAGAGCGUGUAGGCGGCUUGGUAAGUCAGAUGUGAAAGCCCUGGGCUUAACCCAGGAAGUGCAUUUGAAACUGCCAGGCUUGAGUAGGGGAGAGGGAAGUGGAAUUCCUGGUGUAGAGGUGAAAUUCGUAGAUAUCAGGAGGAACACCGGUGGCGAAGGCGACUUCCUGGCCCUAUACUGACGCUGAGACGCGAGAGCGUGGGUAGCAAACAGGAUUAGAUACCCUGGUAGUCCACGCCGUAAACGAUGUUCACUAGGUGUUGGGGGUAUUGACCCUCUCAGUGCCGGAGCUAACGCAUUAAGUGAACCGCCUGGGGAGUACGGUCGCAAGACUA